UCGCCAACCAGGGUAAACCAUCCAUUAUGCUU
Molecule: non-coding RNA, 32 nt
Filed under: Homo sapiens (human)
Lineage: Eukaryota; Metazoa; Chordata; Mammalia; Primates; Hominidae
Source: RNAcentral